UCUGGGUCUGCUUCGACCAUAAUCCCAAAGACCAAUAGGGCGGAAUACCCUUCUUCGAUCAAUCAGGAAAAUGGCUGUUGGGCCUUCAUCUACUCUGCUUCGACCAUAUUCCCGAAGACCAAUAGGGCGGAAUACCCUCUUCAGUCAAUCAGGAAAAUGGAUGUUGGGUCUUCAUCUACUCUGCUUCGACCAUAAUCCCGAAGACCAAUAGGGCGGAGUACCCUCUUCGGUCAAUCAGGAAAAUGGCUGUUGGGUCUUCAUCUACUCUGCUUCGACCAUAAUCCCGAAGACCAAUAGGGCGGAGUACCCUCUUCGGAUGCUUAGGAAUAUGAUUCUUUGGUCUUCUUUGGUCAUGAGGAUCACCUUGAGACAUGUCCUCAAAGUGCAUAGACUGCUUUCCAACUCACGGUUGUCCAUCUUUAGGCGUACCACAUCUUUCAGACUAGACAUAAUUGAACGCUUUGUCCCUCAGCCUGGCAAUCCGAAGAAUCUGCACAACUAUAUCCUUGCUCUGCUCAGCUACCUCCUCGCUCCGCUCAGCUACAUCCUCGCUCCGCACAGCUACAUCCUCGCUCCGCUCCAAGAGAACCUCCAAAGCUCUAUCUGCUUCGUCCACCAUCUUCAUUAGCCUGACCACUUCGGUGCCGAGUUCUAGGCGGGGUGCCUUUUACUUGCCUUCGACCAUGAUCAUGCUCUUUGUCAGCAGCAAAGACCAACCAUCUUCGGGCUUCGUCGUGGGCUCUCGAACGAGAACCCCCUGAUUUGUGCCAUAACUUUCGAUGUAGAACAACUGGAAAUAUUGUGAUUAUAACUCAAGAACACUAGAAAACAGCCCUCCUUCUAGCGCCAAUGUUAACGCCAAGAUCUUUUGUCGAGUCCUAAUCACGUAAGACGUCUGAUCCUGCACAGUAAACACGAUAAACACCACGAGCUUGACGGCUGGACCGUCGGGGGAUAGCUCAGGCGUGAGAGUCAGUAUCGGUGUUCACAAGGUUAACAAUGGAGGAUAAUAAUGUCUAGUGUAUUGAGAGAGAGAUAAUAAUUCUCCUUUGUGUGUGUGUGAAUAUGAAUGUGAACGUACCUUUUGCUUGAAGACUUCCUUGCUAUGAUAUACUACAGGACCUGGUUUACCGUGCCACUGACCUUCCUGACACCUGUUAAUCUCAUCCCCUCUGUCCACCGCUGGCCAACUGUCCAAUCCUUAUUAAUGCCAUGUAAGAUAUCAGUCAGUCAUAUCUUUAUCAUCAUCACCGGUUCAGAACCCAAGUGAAGAUAUUUAAAAUAUGAUGGGUCGACCCACUGAUUUGGUCCGAUACUAGAAGGACUUAACAAAGAUAAUAAAGUGACUAGGCCCAAUAAUGUCAACACCCAAUAGUGAAGACCCAAUGGACUAACUGAAUAAGUAGGCCCAAUCCAUUCGGCCCAAUAGGAGAAAUAUCACGACCCAACACUCACGAUGAUCAAAUUAUAUUUUAUACAUAAAUUAAGAAAAAUUAAAUAGAAAAAAAAGAAUAAAAAAAAUUUAAAAUUUAUUUUUAGUGAGUUCAUAAAGUAAUAAGUUUUUAUUUUUUUAUUUAUUAGGGGAUCCCACUAAAUACUUAUAAUUAUUCUUUUAAAUACAAAAAAAAAAUUAUACUUAAUUAUGUCAUCCUUUAGAAGACGAGUACAUAUUUAUUACUAUGUCUUUAUCAAACUGGUUGACCAUCAACUACCACGACAAAGCGUUUAAAAUUUAACAAAGUAUAUAUAAAAUUUUUACCAAAUACUUAAUAAAAAAAUGUGAUGCCAACUCUCAUGACCAAAAGGGUUUCGUUUGUAUUCUUUUGUAUUCUCUUUUAAAAAAUAUUAUGCGAUGCACUUCCAUAAAUAGGACGACCUAGUAUAUAUAUUGACAUGUUCCAAAAAUAUAAAUAUAUAUUUAAAAUAAUGAAUUUCAUAAAAAAAUUUAUUUCUUCAAAUAUGUGUGUCUCACACUAACUAGAAUAUAUAGUGGUGGGAUGAUAAUUUACCUAGAAUAUAUAUAAUGAUAUGUUAGGAAUUACAUGUAAUUUUAUAGUAGUAGUUUAAAAAGAUAAAAGUAUCUCUAGUUUUAAAAUUGCCAGAAAAAGAAAAGGCAUCUGGAACAGGGGAAGUACUCCAUAUAAGAGCGAGCUGUUUCUCGAGCCAAUCGAACACUAACAAAACAAAAUGGAAUCUGCCGUUUUCUGAUAAUUAGUGAUACUGCAAUUUUAAUUUCUAGCAGAAUUUGAUUCCUUGUGUAAUACGAAAUUAUCUAAGCAAAUAGUUAAAAGUAUUACUAGCUAGCUACUAUAAAUAUAUGCCCACAUUAAAUCUCCAAGCAAGAAUUAAGAGUCAUGGAAGUGUUUUUGGUCUUUCUUAUUUGGUCCAUUAUCAUAUUGUCACCUGCCUUGACCCUCCUCCAUCGUCGCCGGAAGUCCCGGUCCAACCGACUACCACCGGGGCCACCGGGAUGGCCAGUUUUUGGUAACAUUUUUGAUCUUGGGACCAUGCCGCACAGAACUCUAGCCGGGCUGGAAAAAAAAUACGGUCCAGUUGUUUGGCUAAAAUUUGGGUCCAUAAAUUCGAUGGUGGUUCUCACAGCCAAGGCCGCGGCUGAGUUGUUCAAGAACCAUGAUCUCUCCUUCGCGGAACGAACCAUUACUCACGCCAUGAAGUCACACGAUUAUGACAAGGGCUCUUUAGCCCUUGCACCGUAUGGGUCGUAUUGGCGCGUGUUGAGGCGGAUAUGCACCGUGGAAAUGUUGGUGAACAAGAGGAUGAAUGAAAGUGCGCCAGUCAGGCAAAAAUGUGUCAACGAUCUGGUGCAUUGGAUAGAAAAGGAAGCUCGUGAAUCAAAAGGAAUUCAUUUGGCAAGGUUUGUGUUCCUUACUUCAUUUAACAUGCUUGGAAAUCUCAUGUUAUCGCGUGACUUGGUGGAUCCUCAGUCGAAGGCGGGUUCCGAGUUCUUCACGGCUAUGAUGGGACUAAUGGAGUGGGGUGGACAUGCAAAUAUUUCAGACGUGUUUCCGUGGCUUAAGCGGUUUGAUCUGCAGGGUUUGAGGAAGAAAAUGGACCGGGAUAUUGGAAAAGCAUUAGAAAUAGCUUCCGAGUUUUUGAAUGAACGAGCGGAACAGAAAAAACAUCAGCAGCAGCGAGGGGAAGGAACAACUAAUGACUUCUUGGAUGUGUUAUUAGAAUUUGAGGGCGUUGGAGAUGAACCGCCUAAAUUAUUAGAAAGGGACAUCAACAUAUUUAUACUGGUACGUACGUACUCUGUUACACCUACAUCUUAACUAACAUCCUAUAUACUUACAAAACCGAAUGAGUUGCUCCAUUUGUAUAGAAUUACUCUACGUACGAGGUCCUUGGAGGAUAAUAUAUACUCCCUCCAUUCUUUUUUAUUUGACGCUUUAGAGUAAUUUUUUAUUCUAUUUAUUUAACAUUUGUAGAUUUUUAAAAUAUAUUGAUUACAUACGUUGUGAUUGUUUCUAUUUUUUAUUUAGUUUUUAGCCCCGACAUUUUGUGACUUGACUAUGUUAUUAUAAAGUAUAUUUUGUCUUAUUAAAUACUGAUACAUCAUUUGAGACAUAUUUAAGAUUAAAAUUUUGAGACCUCGACUUGUUUUUAUUGAAAACAUGCCAUUAUCUAAAAUAUGAAGCAUAUUUCUUGAAGGAAAUAUUCCUGGCCGGCUCAGAAACGACUAGCAGCUCGACCGAAUGGGCAAUGACGGAGCUCCUACGCAACCCCGAAAAAAUGACAAAGGUUAAAGCCGAGCUUGCUAAGGUCAUAGGACCAAACCGGAAAUUUGAAGAGAGUGAUAUAGAUAACUUGCCCUAUUUACAAGUGGUGGUGAAAGAGACGCUGCGUUUACAUCCUCCAAUUCCUCUUCUUGUUCCGAGGAAGGCUAUGCAGGACACAGAAUUCAUGGGGUACCACAUACCUAAAAACACACAAGUUUUUAUAAAUGCUUGGGCAAUUGGAAGAGACCCACAAUGUUGGAAUGACCCUUUGUCUUUCAAGCCCGAGAGAUUUUUGGGCUCAAAAGUUGAUUAUAAAGGGCAGCACUAUGAGUUAAUCCCAUUUGGUGCUGGGCGAAGAAUGUGUGCGGGGGUUCCAUUAGCUCACAAAAUGUUGAACCUUAUAUUGGGUUCAUUACUUCACGAAUUCGAUUGGGAGCUUGACUGCCACGUGUCCCCCGAGUCAAUGGAUAUGAGGGAUAGGAUGGGGAUAACUGUGAGAAAAUUUGAAUGUUUAGAAGUAAUACCAAAGAAAUCAAGGCUGUGAUAAUUAACCUAUGCAUGUAUGUAUGUAUUUUUACUUAAUGGUUGACGAACAAAAUUGCUAUAUGAAGGGAAAUAUAUAGUACUAAUUUGUGUUCUAUAGGUAGGUUUAUGUUUUUACCAAACGAUAUGUAUUUUGUGUAAACAAUAAUGGCCCACCACAAUACACAUUAAUCUCGCUUUCCUUUCCAUUUUCAAUUACUAAUGGUUUUGGAAAAAGGAAGUGAAUGGAACCAAAAGUAAGGCCGGUCCCUUACGAGUCUACCAUCUCCGAUUGGGGAAAACUAUAACAAUUUUGAACAAUAAUGGAAUGUAGAGGGGAACAAAUAAUAAUUGAAGGAUGAAUGAGACAAACGGGAGGGUAACAUCAUAUAUAUAUAUAUGCUUACUGCGGCUGCGGCUGUUUAUUUUUAUUACUAUUAUUUAUUUUAUUUAAUAAUUUAUAGUGCAUGUUCGUUAAUUUAAUAAAUUAAGACUGGGUGUUAACGUCAAGAUUUUUUGUCGCGUCCCAAUCACGUAAGACGUCUGAUCCUGCACAGUAAACACGAUAAGACACUAAAAGCUUGACGGCUGGACCGUCGGUGGAUAGCUCAGGCGUGAGAGUCAGUAUACGUGUUCACAAGGUUAACAAUGGAGGAUGUAAUGUCUAGUGUAUUGAGAGAGAUAAUAAUUCUCCGUUGUGUGUGUGUGAAUAUGAAUAUGAACGUACCUUUUGCUUGAAGACUUCCUUGCUAUGAUAUAUUAUAGGACCUGGUUUACCGUGCCACUGACCCUCCUGACACCUGUUAAUCUCAUCCCCUCUGUCCAGCGCUGGUCAACUGUCCAAUCCUUAUUAAUGCCAUGUAAGAUAUCAGUCAGCCAUAUCUUUGUCAUCAUCACCGGUUCAGAACCCAAGUAAAGAUAUUUAAAUAUAUGAUGGAUCGACCCACUGAUUUGGUCCGAUACUAGAAGGACUUAACAAAGAUAAUAAAGUGACUAGGUCCAAUAAUGUCAACACCCAAUAGUGAAGACCCAAUGGACGAACUGAAUAAGUAGGCCCAAUCCAUUCGGCCCAAUAGGAGAAAUAUCACGACCCAACUUUGCCCCCUAAUUUUAUUAAACAGGAGGUUUAAUAGGAAACUAUAAAUGGCAUCAGUUCAGGACAAAAGGAAUUAUAAUAAGACCAAUAAAGGCCCAAAAUACGGUUUACCGAAGUCCAUCUGAUGAACAUCAAAUAGCAACAUAAAGGGUUCAUCUUCGCCGACCUCUACAGAAGUACCAAUUGAAGAGCUUUCAACUACCGAAGCUCAAGCCAUAGAACGAAAUUUCGGUUCGACAAUAAUUCCAUCACGGACCUGAUGGACGAAGGAAUGAAAUACCGGACUAAAGGAAUUCGAUAGUUUUGAUUUAUUCAUUCACUUCGCUGCCCAUCAAUUUGAAAUGAUUGACUAAUAAUGGUCAUCUGCAGGCAAACGCUAAUUCGUGUGUCUCCGUCUCAAAUACAAAGAAGCCGAAAAGGAUACCGAAGAGAAUGCCGAAGAGGAUACCGCCCGAAGGGAUAACACCAUCCGGAAGUCUGUGUUAGCGAAAGAAAGAAUCAAUCUUGAUAUUGCUCUCUUCAACAAUGAAUGCCUUCGGAAGAAUAUCGACAAGAUCAAAGAAGAACUAAAGACGACCAAGGCCACUCAUCGGGUCAUCACAAUGACGAAGAAGAAUGAAGAUCUGACCGAGUCCAAUCAGAGCUUGGCGAAGCAAAAUAACAAUAUCCAUGCUAAAGAAACAAGAUAUCUAGCACAUCGUCAAAAGCUUGAAGAAGAGCUCAAAGAGCUUCGGGCCCUUAAGAAUUUGAGUCCGCCACUGACUGAAGAAUUUCGUAGGGAUAUCCAGGCAGAAUACAGAAAAUCCGCCGAGCUGAACAAUAAGAUCGUCCAUAUGUAUGCCAAAGGAUAUGAAAUCUGCCGAAGUAAAGACAAGAAAAAGCUUUGUCACGGCCGAGGUAGAUCCAUCUCUUCUAGACUCUUCAGAUGGUGAUGAUGAUGAUGAAUAAGCCUGAAGAUGACCAUCCCUUUACCUUUAACUGUAGAACUUUCUAUAAAAAUUCUAAACUCUUGUGAACAGUUAAUAUUAAUGAAAUAUCAACUUUAUGCCUUAUUACUUCUGGGUGAACAUUUCUUGUCAGUAAUUAAUCAUCAAUCAACUUGAAAACUGUACAAGUGCUUCUUAACUUAAACUGUUAGUCAAUAAUCAAGAAAAUGAUAUAACAGUUAAGAACAAUAAUGAGAUAAUCUGAACUCAACACUUGAACAAAAUAAAGUAAUGCAUACUUAUCGUUACCGAAGUGUGAUACAGGUCAUGUAUAAGGUGAAUUCGGCUGAUCCUCUUUGUAACAACAAGAUCUUGUUUAUCGCUCGAGGUAGAACAAGUAUAUAAGGACCUUUGUUUACCACUCGGGGUAGAACAAUUAUAUAAGGACCAUGGAAUUUGUCUACCACACGGGGUCACAAAUUUAUAAGGACACUCCUGACAAUAAGGCUGCCAUCGAAUGGCCAGCAAGUCCGACCAUACCUCCUUACUCCAGUGCAUUUUUUUUAUCACUCGCGAUAAAUCAAAAUUAAGAGGAUCAUGGAAUUUGUCUACCACGCAGGGUAUAACAAAACCAUAAGGACACUUCUGCCGAAGAGGCUACCAUCGAAUGUUCAGCGAGUCCACCUCGUCCUCCUUACUUCGGUGACUAUUGAUUUACCGCCCUCGGUAAAAGAAAUAUAAAGGAACAUAGGAUUUGUCUACCACGCUGGGCAACAAAUAGAUAGGCUACCAUCGAAUGACCAGCGAGUCCGACCAUACCUCCUUACACCAUUGUGAACUUAGGACCAAUAGGAAUAAGAUCAAUUGUGAAAAAAUGAGCGUGGAUGAGCCACCGAAGUCUUUCUGUGCUGAAUUUCCAGUUUUUUCAAGAAUAUCCCUGCCGAAGUACUUUGUAGGCCAAUAGUUUCGCAGCUAAAUGAUUGCCACAAAUGUCUUUGUGAACUUCCCGAAGAACAUACUCUGCUUCGGACGGAACCAAAUAUUUGAGCAAUGGUGACGAAAAAGGACCUUCGAAAAAGAUUCUCAUUAAUGAGAACAAAAUUGACACUCUUAUACUUGAUCUUCUUUAGCCGGCAUCUGAUCUGAAGGAAGGACGCCAUAUGCCAUCAAAGUUAUAAGCAUCCGUAAUAGCCAACUUCGAUAAUGCAUCAACAAUGGAAUUAUUAUUGUGAUUGACCCCUUGAUAGCCUGCUGUACUGAUGUCCCAAAUAGAAUAUCCAUCUGCAUGCAAUGUCCACGAGCUCUGCUUCUGCUGAAGUACUGCAACGGCUUUGUCGGACUCCUCAGCUGCUUUCCAUCUGAAGCUGCAACUUUAGAUGGAUUUCCCCGAAGACAAGUAUCCACAGGGCGGUGUGCCCUCAGUGGAUUCUCAAGAGUAUGGCUUCUGGGUCUGCUUCGACCAUAAUCCCGAAGACCAAUAGGGCGGAAUACCCUUCUUCGAUCAAUCAGGAAAAUGGUUGUUGGGUCUUCAUCUACUCUGCUUCGACCAUAAUCCCGAAGACCAAUAAGGCGGAGUACCCUCUUCGGUCAAUCAGGAAAAUGGCUGUUGGGUCUUCAUCUACUCUACUUCGACCAUAAUCCUGAAGACCAAUAGGGCGAAGUACCCUCUUCGGAUGCUCAGGAAUAUGAUUCUUUGGUCAUGAGGAUCACCUUGAGACAUGUCCUCAAAGUGCAUAGACUGCUUUCCAACUCACGGUUGUCCAUCUUUAGGCGUACCACAUCUUUCAGACUAGACAUAAUUGAUCGCUUUGUCCCUCAGCCUGGCAAUUCGAAGAAUCUGCACAACUAUAUCCUCGCUCCGCUCAGCUACAUCCUCGCUCCGCACAGCUACAUCCUCGCUCCGCUCCAAGAGAACCUUCAAAGCUCUAUCUGCUUCGUCCACCAUCUUCAUUAGCCUGACCACUUCGGUGCCGAGUUCUAGGCGGGGUGCCUUUUACUUGCCUUCGGCCAUGAUCAUGCUCUUUGUCAGCAGCAAAGACCAACCAUCUUCGGGCUU
RNAcentral lists this long non-coding RNA (8340 nucleotides) under Panax ginseng (ginseng). Its description in RNAcentral is "long non-coding RNA (PGIN_LNC009758)". Lineage: Eukaryota; Viridiplantae; Streptophyta; Magnoliopsida; Apiales; Araliaceae. The record is from RNAcentral.